UGGGGCGGGCACAGGGCAGGAGCGAACGAGUGGGAGAAUUAGCAGGAGGUGAAGUCAGAGGUAACUCGUUUUAUUGUUACUGAUUUAAAGGGUGAGACCUCCCGGAUCUGGUCAAAACUGUGCUUGUGUGUAACAGUACAGUCCUUCUAUAACUUAAGCCUUCAAGGA
Non-coding RNA from Ceratotherium simum simum (southern white rhinoceros), 168 nucleotides. The record is from RefSeq and is a predicted model, not a curated record. NCBI's taxonomy places the organism in Eukaryota, Metazoa, Chordata, Mammalia, Perissodactyla, Rhinocerotidae.